UACAGAGGGUGCAAACGUUGCUCGGAAUUAUUGGGCGUAAAGCGCAUGUAGGCGGCACGAUAAGUUCACUGUGAAAGCCCUUGGCUCAACCAAGGAAGUGCAGUGAAAACUGUCGAGCUAGAGUUCUGAAGAGGGUCGCGGAAUGGCCAGUGUAGAGGUGAAAUUCGUAGAUAUUGGCUAGAACACCAGUGGCGAAGGCG
This 200-nucleotide ribosomal RNA is filed under the name uncultured bacterium. RNAcentral describes it as "partial 16S ribosomal RNA". It matches the Rfam family "Bacterial small subunit ribosomal RNA", at positions 524 to 723 of the family's 1533-position model. The record is from RNAcentral.